This 440-nucleotide ribosomal RNA is filed under the name uncultured bacterium. RNAcentral describes it as "bacterial SSU rRNA". It matches the Rfam family "Bacterial small subunit ribosomal RNA", at positions 957 to 1393 of the family's 1533-position model. The record is from RNAcentral.
UAACGCGAAGAACCUUACCAGCCCUUGACAUCCCGGUCGCGGACUCCAGAGACGGAGUUCUUCAGUUCGGCUGGACCGGAGACAGGUGCUGCAUGGCUGUCGUCAGCUCGUGUCGUGAGAUGUUGGGUUAAGUCCCGCAACGAGCGCAGCCCUCGUCUCCAGUUGCCAUCAGGUUAUGCUGGGCACUUUGGAGAAACUGCCGGUGACAAGCCGGAGGAAGGUGGGGAUGACGUCAAGUCCUCAUGGCCCUUACGGGCUGGGCUACACACGUGCUACAAUGGCGGUGACAAUGGGAUGCGAAGGGGCGACCCGGAGCCGAUCCUAAAAAACCGUCUCAGUUCGGAUUGCACUCUGCAACUCGAGUGCAUGAAGGUGGAAUCGCUAGUAAUCGAGGAUCAGCAUGCCUCGGUGAAUACGUUCCCGGGUCUUGUACACACCGA